GCGUAUUAAACCCUCUAAUUCCUCUUGAGGCGGCUCGCGUCUUAGGGGACAUCUCGGUACCUAGAUAACAACAAACACUCUUCAAAUAACUAUUAAAAAUCAUUAAUAAAUGUGGCUUACUAAGAUUAGGGAAUUCAUGUAGCCUUCUAUCCAAAAUUCAUGUUGCAAUCAUGAACCAUGGAUAAGACUCUACACUACCCCAACACUCCGCUGAUAACACAAGAAAUCUUAAGACUUUUCUAAACUUAGGGCUCUGAUACCAAUAUUGUAAUGACCCCUUCUUGAUCGCUACCGGAGUCUAAGACUUCUAAAGAAUUUUUACUACGUCCCGAACAAGCCUCUUUUAAAACUUUCGCUAGAUUCAUUAAAUACAUAUAAUCAAAUCACGUGCGUAAGCGAAUAAUAAUAAUUAAAUUACUAUCUACUCCAUUCAAAAUAAUAACAAUUCAUGUUUAUAAGUUAACAACAUUUUUUUUCAACAUCUAGCAAUUUUGUUCCGACACAACCCCAUACAGUGGAGUGACUCAGAGCGGGGUUAAGAGAUGCCUUUACCUACUCUGCGGUGGUACAUAUGCACCGAUAAUUACACAUUAGACUGAGUCUCAUAGAAUCAGUAAUCAUCAUCGACCCCGUGAGCAGGCGAGGAAGGGAAACAAACAUAAAGGUGGAAUGUUUAUAAACCCAAGAGUAAGCAUAGAAAAUACAUUCCAUAAAACUGAGAGAUUUUUGUUUUUAUACCUUACAAUUCUUAAAAAUAAUAAUUUCCAAAUAAACAUGUAUGAAAACAGUUGUAUUUAGGAUACUAGAAAAUCUUUCAACCACGACAUCCAGUCGACAUUAAAUUCAAUGGCAAGUGAAAAAUAAAAAUUCUUAAAUAUAAAAAGGCUGAUUUAAUUGAUCACUAAUGAAUAGGUAAAUUUCACUUGCCAUUAAAUAAAUAAAAAUUUUCAAGUAUUAAUGCCAUGCAUAGUGAAAUAAAAAUCUAUAAAUGAGCAUCAUACUCUGGUAGGUUUAAUAUAGCUCUUAGGCUUACUCUCUCAAAUAUCACCACAUACUCGUGGGAACUACCCACGCCACCAUAUAUAAAUUAGGCUUCCGGUCUCCCUUUUUGCCUACUCGUGGGAUCUACCCAUGCCACCAUAUAUCAAUCGAGGCUUCAGGUCCCCCUUUGCCUACUCGUGGGAUCUGCCCAUGCCACCAUAUAUAAAUUGGGGAUUCAGGUCCCCUUUUGCCUACUCGUAGGAACUGCCCACGCCACCCAAUAUGAAUCAGGGCUUCAGGUCCCCCUUUUACAAUCAAAUAUAAAAAAUUAUUGCAAUUUCAAGCAUUUACAAAGCAUAAUAGUUUGUAAACAAUAUAAUCAUAAAUCAAUAUUAUGCAUAUUUUAUCUCAAAGCAUGAUAUAUUUACCAAAUCAGCUUGCUAAUUGAAAAAUAUAAUCUAUCAUCAAGUUUUAUGAAUCAAUACAAAGGCCACUGGCCUAAACACCACACAAACUUCCAAGGUAUGAUUUUGAAGUGAAAGCCAGUCAAAAGUUUGUUUCCCCAUAUUUAAAAACAUGUAGAUAUAUAUACUUAUAUAUAUUUUAAUGAAAAGCGGAUAUAAAAUCCUUGUUACAAGCACAAACAACCUAAAGCUUUCUACCAACUCAUGCUGUUCACAAUUUCGUCAACUAUCAAAUGUAACAUAUAUAAUAUAUUAUAGAAAAAUAAUUUUAAAAUCUAGCACCGACUCACCUCACAAUAGCGAGACGCUACUUCGCUAUUGGUUCUUGCGUAUAUUUGGCAAUUCUCUCUCUUUUUUUCUCCUCUGCCGCUACUUUUUCUCUCCUUCUCUUCUUUUUCUUUCUUCCCUCUCCUUUUUCUCCUUUGUCGUUGCUCCUUCUCUCCUUCUUCUUUUUUUUCUUUCUCUUCUUUCUUCCCUCUCUUUCUUCUCUUCUACCGCUGUGCUCCCUUUCCAUUUCUUCUUCUUUUCUCUUUCUUUUUCCUCUCUCUUUUCUCUCCUCGUCGUUUUGCUCCCUCUCUCUUUCUUUUUCUCUUUCUCUUUCUUUUUUCUCUAUCCUUUCUCUCCUCGUCACUGUGCUCACUCUCUAUUUCUUCUUCUCUUUCUUUUUCUUUUUCCUCUCUCUUUUCUCUCCACAUCGUCGUGCUCACUCUCUCUUACUUAUUCUCUUUCUCUUUCUUUUUCCUUUCUCCUUUCUCUCCUCAUCGUCGUGCUCCCUCUCUCUUUUCUCCCCCUCAAGCCCCCUACUCUCUUCCUUCUCUUUCCUCUUUUGUCUUUUUAUGAGUGGGGCAUCACAUGUGCUUUCGUGCAAACUCUGGGGGUUAUCAUUAGAUGUGGGGCGCAUGGUAUAGGGAAGUCAAAACUGACACAUUUUAUCAUUAGGCUUUUGGAAAAGGAAGUUAUUUAGUGGCGUGAAGAAAACUGUGGAAGUGUUCUAGUCCAGCUUGAUGGACAUGGGGAGUUCAGCAUUUUAGAUUCGAGUAGUGACACCGAGUAAAUUAAUUAAUGUAAUAUCAGCCACAGGUUUUCCUUAUCA
This 2538-nucleotide long non-coding RNA is filed under the name Theobroma cacao (cacao). Its description in RNAcentral is "long non-coding RNA (TCAC_LNC004490)". Lineage: Eukaryota; Viridiplantae; Streptophyta; Magnoliopsida; Malvales; Malvaceae. The record is from RNAcentral.